GAUCCCGUAGCUCAGCUGGAUAGAGCAAUUGCCUUCUAAGCAAUAGGUCGUGCGUUCGAAUCGCAUCGGGGUCGCCA
RNAcentral lists this transfer RNA (77 nucleotides) under Alphaproteobacteria bacterium. RNAcentral's name for it is "tRNA-Arg". It matches the Rfam family "tRNA". Rfam says of the family: Transfer RNA (tRNA) molecules are approximately 80 nucleotides in length. Their secondary structure includes four short double-helical elements and three loops (D, anti-codon, and T loops). Lineage: Bacteria; Pseudomonadati; Pseudomonadota; Alphaproteobacteria. The record is from RNAcentral.